GGGAUGUGAUGAGUGGUCAUCGCUCGCUUAAAGUCUGCGAGAUGGGUGUCCGCCCCAAAGCCUGGUUACGACAAUCUGGGCACUCCCAUCUUUACCGAUCUGAUCCC
Molecule: non-coding RNA, 107 nt
Organism: Citrus sinensis (sweet orange)
Lineage: Eukaryota; Viridiplantae; Streptophyta; Magnoliopsida; Sapindales; Rutaceae
Source: Rfam